Molecule: ribosomal RNA, 421 nt
Filed under: uncultured bacterium
Lineage: Bacteria
Description: bacterial SSU rRNA
Rfam family: Bacterial small subunit ribosomal RNA
Source: RNAcentral
UGAGGAAUAUUGGCAAUGCCCGCAAGGGUGACCCAGCAACGCCGCGUGGAGGAUGAAUGUCGUAAGAUUGUAAACUCCUGUUAGAGGGGAAGAAUAGUACCGGUUGGACCGGUAUAUGACUGUACCCUCAGAGAAAGCCCCGGCUAACUACGUGCCAGCAGCCGCGGUAAUACGUAGGGGGCAAGCGUUGUCCGGAUUUACUGGGUGUAAAGGGCGCGCAGGCGGGAUAAAAAGUCAGUGGUGAAAUCCUACAGCUUAACUGUAGAACUGCCUUUGAUACUUUUAUUCUUGAGUUCGGGAGAGAGAGACGGAAUUCCAGGUGUAGUGGUGAAAUACGUAGAUAUCUGGAAGAACACCAGUUGCGAAGGCGGUCUCUUGGUCCGACACUGACGCUGAGGCGCGAAAGCGUGGGGAGCAAACA